Molecule: long non-coding RNA, 986 nt
Filed under: Equus asinus (donkey)
Lineage: Eukaryota; Metazoa; Chordata; Mammalia; Perissodactyla; Equidae
Description: lncRNA (ENSEASG00005030478.1)
Source: RNAcentral
ACCGCGUUCUUUGAUAGAGAGUCCGGGAUCUCACGUUUCGGUGCCACUCCUGACCGACGCUCCCCAGGAGGCUGAGCUAAUGAGGCCCAGGAUUUCAGCCACCGAUGACCUUCCUCCAGCGCGUCUCAUGUCCUUCUGCUCCACCUCGGCACAGCAGCUCGGCAAGCCCCAGGGUCCAUCCCUCUGGUGACAGAUUUCAACCUGACACCUCUUUGAGGCUCUUGUUUGUUCCUUCUAGCUUAUCCUCACUGGGCGCUGAUUUCAGAGUUCUGGAGGCUGGAAGUCCAAGAUCCAGGUGCUCAUGAUUCAGUUCCUGGUGAGGACUCUUCCUGGCUUGUGGAUGGCUGCCUUCUUGCUGCGUCCUCACUUGGCAGAGAGAGAGAGAGACAGAGACAGAGAGAGGGCUCCAGUGUCCCUUCCUCAUCUUGUAAGGACACUAAUCCUGUCAUGGAGACACCAGCCUCACGGCCUCAUCAAAACCUAAUUAUCUCUGAAAGGCCCCAAGAAUAUUCCAUCGGUAUUCUUACUGAUGAAUGUUUAGACUGUUUUCCUGUUUUCCCUAUUACAACCCGUGCUGCAAUGAGCAUCCUCGUUCAGGCCUCCUCUUUCAGGUGGACACUGAGAAAUGGAAUGUCUGCAUCAUAAUCCCAUCAUUCUUCAAGUGAUGAAGUUAAAAAAGUUAAAUUUUAAAUCAUUUCCAGUUUAACCCGGGUAUAAUUGGGGUCUCACGUGGCCCAGUCUUUGUCCUGUGUCAAUUCAAAGAAACAAUUUGACAGAAAAAUUUAAUCCAACACAAUUCCACUUUUUUACCUGGUUGCUCAGGAAACCCCCGAAGGCAGUGGUGUGGUGGGAGGUGGGGGGGGGGGGCGGUCAAAGCCAGGAAUACAUUCUAUUUUGUGAAUUGGUUUGUUUGUCGUUUUCAGGUAUAAUUUUGAUUCUUUUGAUUUCAGAUGGAAUGGAGUUUAUCUUUGUUGAGUUUGGCAAAG